UUAAGCGACUAAGCGUACACGGUGGAUGCCCUGGCAGUCAGAGGCGAUGAAGGACGUGCUAAUCUGCGAAAAGCGUCGGUAAGGUGAUAUGAACCGUUAUAACCGGCGAUGUCCGAAUGGGGAAACCCAGUGUGAUUCGUCACACUAUCGUUAACUGAAUACAUAGGUUAACGAGGCGAACCGGGGGAACUGAAACAUCUAAGUACCCCGAGGAAAAGAAAUCAACCGAGAUUCCCCCAGUAGCGGCGAGCGAACGGGGAGCAGCCCAGAGUCUGAAUCAGCUUGUGUGUUAGUGGAACGGUCUGGAAAGUCCGACGGUACAGGGUGAUAGUCCCGUACACCAAAAUGCACAGGCUGUGAACUCGAAGAGUAGGGCGGGACACGUGGUAUCCUGUCUGAAUAUGGGGGGACCAUCCUCCAAGGCUAAAUACUCCUGACUGACCGAUAGUGAACCAGUACCGUGAGGGAAAGGCGAAAAGAACCCCGGCGAGGGGAGUGAAAAAGAACCUGAAACCGUGUACGUACAAGCAGUGGGAGCACCUUCGGGUGUGACUGCGUACCUUUUGUAUAAUGGGUCAGCGACUUAUAUUCUGUAGCAAGGUUAACCGUAUAGGGGAGCCGCAGGGAAACCGAGUCUUAACUGGGCGUUAAGUUGCAGGGUAUAGACCCGAAACCCGGUGAUCUAGCCAUGGGCAGGUUGAAGGUUGGGUAACACUAACUGGAGGACCGAACCGACUAAUGUUGAAAAAUUAGCGGAUGACUUGUGGCUGGGGGUGAAAGGCCAAUCAAACCGGGAGAUAGCUGGUUCUCCCCGAAAGCUAUUUAGGUAGCGCCUCGUGAACUCAUCUUCGGGGGUAGAGCACUGUUUCGGCUAGGGGGUCAUCCCGACUUACCAACCCGAUGCAAACUACGAAUACCGAAGAAUGUUAUCACGGGAGACACACGGCGGGUGCUAACGUCCGUCGUGAAGAGGGAAACAACCCAGACCGCCAGCUAAGGUCCCAAAGUCAUGGUUAAGUGGGAAACGAUGUGGGAAGGCACAGACAGCCAGGAUGUUGGCUUAGAAGCAGCCAUCAUUUAAAGAAAGCGUAAUAGCUCACUGGUCGAGUCGGCCUGCGCGGAAGAUGUAACGGGGCUAAACCAUGCACCGAAGCUGCGGCAGCGACACUAUGUGUUGUUGGGUAGGGGAGCGUUCUGUAAGCCUGCGAAGGUGACCUGUGAGGCUUGCUGGAGGUAUCAGAAGUGCGAAUGCUGACAUAAGUAACGAUAAAGCGGGUGAAAAGCCCGCUCGCCGGAAGACCAAGGGUUCCUGUCCAACGUUAAUCGGGGCAGGGUGAGUCGACCCCUAAGGCGAGGCCGAAAGGCGUAGUCGAUGGGAAACAGGUUAAUAUUCCUGUACUUGGUGUUACUGCGAAGGGGGGACGGAGAAGGCUAUGUUAGCCGGGCGACGGUUGUCCCGGUUUAAGCAUGUAGGCUGAUUGUCCAGGCAAAUCCGGAUAAUCAAGGCUGAGGUGUGAUGACGAGGCACUACGGUGCUGAAGUAACAAAUGCCCUGCUUCCAGGAAAAGCCUCUAAGCAUCAGGUAACAUUAAAUCGUACCCCAAACCGACACAGGUGGUCAGGUAGAGAAUACCAAGGCGCUUGAGAGAACUCGGGUGAAGGAACUAGGCAAAAUGGUGCCGUAACUUCGGGAGAAGGCACGCUGGUGUGUAGGUGAAGCCCCUGCGGGUGGAGCUGAGACCAGUCGAAGAUACCAGCUGGCUGCAACUGUUUAUUAAAAACACAGCACUGUGCAAACACGAAAGUGGACGUAUACGGUGUGACGCCUGCCCGGUGCCGGAAGGUUAAUUGAUGGGGUUAUCCGUAAGGAGAAGCUCUUGAUCGAAGCCCCGGUAAACGGCGGCCGUAACUAUAACGGUCCUAAGGUAGCGAAAUUCCUUGUCGGGUAAGUUCCGACCUGCACGAAUGGCGUAAUGAUGGCCAGGCUGUCUCCACCCGAGACUCAGUGAAAUUGAACUCGCUGUGAAGAUGCAGUGUACCCGCGGCAAGACGGAAAGACCCCGUGAACCUUUACUAUAGCUUGACACUGAACAUUGAGCCUUGAUGUGUAGGAUAGGUGGGAGGCUUUGAAGCGUGGACGCCAGUCUGCGUGGAGCCAACCUUGAAAUACCACCCUUUAAUGUUUGAUGUUCUAACGUUGGCCCCUUACCGGGGUUGCGGACAGUGUCUGGUGGGUAGUUUGACUGGGGCGGUCUCCUCCCAAAGCGUAACGGAGGAGCACGAAGGUUAGCUAAUCCUGGUCGGACAUCAGGAGGUUAGUGCAAUGGCAUAAGCUAGCUUGACUGCGAGCGUGACGGCGCGAGCAGGUGCGAAAGCAGGUCAUAGUGAUCCGGUGGUUCUGAAUGGAAGGGCCAUCGCUCAACGGAUAAAAGGUACUCCGGGGAUAACAGGCUGAUACCGCCCAAGAGUUCAUAUCGACGGCGGUGUUUGGCACCUCGAUGUCGGCUCAUCACAUCCUGGGGCUGAAGUAGGUCCCAAGGGUAUGGCUGUUCGCCAUUUAAAGUGGUACGCGAGCUGGGUUUAGAACGUCGUGAGACAGUUCGGUCCCUAUCUGCCGUGGGCGCUGGAGAAUUGAGGGGGGCUGCUCCUAGUACGAGAGGACCGGAGUGGACGCAUCACUGGUGUUCGGGUUGUCAUGCCAAUGGCACUGCCCGGUAGCUAAAUGCGGAAGAGAUAAGUGCUGAAAGCAUCUAAGCACGAAACUUGCCCCGAGAUGAGUUCUCCCUGAGACUUUAAGUCUCCUGAAGGAACGUUGAAGACGACGACGUUGAUAGGCCGGGUGUGUAAGCGCAGCGAUGCGUUGAGCUAACCGGUACUAAUGAACCGUGAGGCUUAACCUU
RNAcentral lists this ribosomal RNA (2900 nucleotides) under Klebsiella pneumoniae MGH 36. RNAcentral's name for it is "bacterial LSU rRNA". It matches the Rfam family "Bacterial large subunit ribosomal RNA". Lineage: Bacteria; Pseudomonadati; Pseudomonadota; Gammaproteobacteria; Enterobacterales; Enterobacteriaceae. The record is from RNAcentral.